Molecule: transfer RNA, 79 nt
Filed under: Parcubacteria group bacterium CG11_big_fil_rev_8_21_14_0_20_41_14
Lineage: Bacteria
Description: tRNA-Leu
Rfam family: tRNA
About the family: Transfer RNA (tRNA) molecules are approximately 80 nucleotides in length.
Source: RNAcentral
CCGGAGUGGCGAAAUUGGUAUACGCGCCAGGUUUAGGACCUGGUGCCGCAAGGCGUGGAGGUUCGAGUCCUCUCUCCGG